UACGUAGGGUGCGAGCGUUAAUCGGAAUUACUGGGCGUAAAGCGUGCGCAGGCGGUGAUGUAAGACAGGUGUGAAAUCCCCGGGCUUAACCUGGGAACUGCAUUUGUGACUGCAUCGCUGGAGUGCGGCAGAGGGGGAUGGAAUUCCGCGUGUAGCAGUGAAAUGCGUAGAUAUGCGGAGGAACACCGAUGGCGAAGGCAAUCCCCUGGGCCGGUACUGACGCUGAGGAGCGAAAGCGUGGGUAGCAAACAGGG
RNAcentral lists this ribosomal RNA (254 nucleotides) under uncultured bacterium. RNAcentral describes it as "partial 16S ribosomal RNA". It matches the Rfam family "Bacterial small subunit ribosomal RNA", at positions 524 to 777 of the family's 1533-position model. The record is from RNAcentral.